CAAACUGAAGAUGGCGACCGGCGCACGGGUGAGUAACACGUAUCCAACCUGCCGAUAACUCCGGAAUAGCCUUUCGAAAGAAAGAUUAAUACCGGGUAGCAUACGAAUAUCGCAUGAUAUUUUUAUUAAAGAAUUUCGGUUAUCGAUGGGGAUGCGUUCCAUUAGUUUGUUGGCGGGGUAACGGCCCACCAAGACUACGAUGGAUAGGGGUUCUGAGAGGAAGGUCCCCCACAUUGGAACUGAGACACGGUCCAAACUCCUACGGGAGGCAGCAUG
This 276-nucleotide ribosomal RNA is filed under the name uncultured bacterium. Its description in RNAcentral is "partial 16S ribosomal RNA". It matches the Rfam family "Bacterial small subunit ribosomal RNA", at positions 77 to 353 of the family's 1533-position model. The record is from RNAcentral.